AUAAGAGCUGAAAGCAUCUAAGCACGAAGCCCCCCUCGAGAUGAGAUUUCCCUCGAAAGAUAAGACCCCUUGAAGAAAAUGAGGUAGAUAGGCUCAAGGUGAAAGAGCAGUAAUGUUUGAAGCUAAUGAGUACUAAUAGGUCGAAGACUUGACCAA
Molecule: ribosomal RNA, 156 nt
Organism: Anaerosphaera aminiphila DSM 21120
Lineage: Bacteria; Bacillati; Bacillota; Tissierellia; Tissierellales; Peptoniphilaceae
Rfam family: Bacterial large subunit ribosomal RNA
Source: Rfam